Long non-coding RNA from Patella vulgata (common limpet), 1526 nucleotides. RefSeq lists it as uncharacterized. The record is from RefSeq and is a predicted model, not a curated record. Lineage: Eukaryota; Metazoa; Mollusca; Gastropoda; Patellidae. The transcript is spliced from 2 exons.
UUUAGCAAAGAAAAGCUGUAGUAAAGAAUACACAUUUUUUUUUUUAUAAACAAUAUUUUUAUUCAAGAUGUCUGAAUGGGAUUGGGGAACAGGCUUAGCCUAUGUAAAACCCCUUGUUAUAAACAAGAAAAGGGCACUGGGAAACCAGCCAAAACUGGCACGGACAUGCCAAAGGCUAACAACAAUAUACACAAAACAAUAAAUAAAAAAAAUAAAAUGUGAAUGUCAUCAUAAUUUAUUAAUAAUAAUUUUAUAAUAUGUAGUAGAAAAUGAUACACAAACGUGUGUUCGGAUAAUUUAAUGUCCGAAAAUAAAUGGUUUAUACUCCCGAUGGUAUGUUAUAUAACUAAUUUAAAAAAAACUCAUUAAAAUUAUGAAUAACUUACAUCUAUUACACCGUCAAGUUCUUGAAAUUCCAGGACGUCGUACGCUUCUGCCAUGUUGACAUACGGCCGGAAGUUACUUGUGCCUUAUUGACUUCGCGCAUGCGAUGUACAACAUAAUUAUGUCAUCACCGUUAUACGUCACCGAGUGGGCGUUCCCGUUAGUGUUCUAGUUCUAUGGUUUAAAUGAUUAAUACAAUGACGUCAUUAUUAAUGUGACGUCAUAAUGUAUGUUUAAUUUCAUCUGUGAAUUAGGAGAUAAACACUUCCUGUUACGUAUUUAGAGGGGGUUUAUUGUCCAUUUAACCAUGCUUGAAUCAUUAGAACACGAGACGCGAUAGCGUCGAGUUGUUCUAAUGGAUAAUUCAAGCAUGGUUAAAUGGACAAUAAACACCCGAUAAAUACGUAACAGGAACGUGUUUAUCGAUAUUGUAGCACAAAUAUUUUGAGAUUUUCUUCGGAACUAUUUAGGAAACAUUUUUACACUCAUUUUAAAAAGUCGUUAUUUGGUCACGCGUUUGCGUUCAUUUUUCAAAAUAUUUUCAAUAGAUUAUAGACGGCCUCAUUUGCUUACCUGCAAAUUUAAAAUGUUUGGGUCUCGAGUUGAUGGUAAAUGAAUUAUGAAAGAAAAUGUUAUUCGGAUAUCGACAACAAAAAGUAUUUUUAACGUUUGAAGAUUUUUAAAAGAAUAAGAAAUUAGUAUUAGUGCGGUAUUUCGAGACGAGUGUCAACGCGAUUGAAAGAAUUCCGUCCUGCUAUCCGAGACUAAAAGAGGAGUAACUCUUGGCAACAAAAAUGACUUCGCUUCGGGAGAUUCAUAAAUGUGAUUUCAUAAAAGAUGAUGUUUGAAAAUGGUGUGAUAGUCAUGUGUGCAGAAUUCCUUGAAGAUAUUUGCCAAUAAAGAUUUGAGUUGAAGAAGAUCAGAGCACAAAAAUGAAAAAAAGUACACUGUUAUAUUUAUACGCAGUAAUUCGCCUUGAUAAUUUAGAGGGGGUUUAUUGUCCAUUCGACCACACUUUUCGACCAAUCAGAAUCGAGGAAAUUUCUAAUUUGUGCUACAAUUAUUUUUAAACGAUGACUGAAUGACUACACGAAUAUUUCUACGAUUGAUCAGCUUAAAUAAAUGACAUAUUGUUUUCAUAA